This 450-nucleotide ribosomal RNA is filed under the name uncultured Glomus. RNAcentral describes it as "SSU rRNA". It matches the Rfam family "Eukaryotic small subunit ribosomal RNA", at positions 569 to 1024 of the family's 1831-position model. Lineage: Eukaryota; Fungi; Glomeromycota; Glomeromycetes; Glomerales; Glomeraceae. The record is from RNAcentral.
AGCAGCCGCGGUAAUUCCAGCUCCAAUAGCGUAUAUUAAAGUUGUUGCAGUUAAAAAGCUCGUAGUUGAACUUCGGGAUCAAUUGAUUGGUCAUGCCAUUGGUAUGUACUGGUCAUAUUGGUUCUCACCUUCUAAGGAACCAUAAUGUCAUUCAUUUGAUGUUUUGGGGAAUUAGGACUGUUACCUUGAAAAAUUAGAGUGUUUAAAGCAGGCUAACGCUUGAAUACAUUAGCAUGGAAUAAUGAAAUAGGACAUCGCAUUCUAUUUUGUUGGUUUCUAGGAUCGAUGUAAUGAUUAAUAGGGAUAGUUGGGGGCAUUAGUAUUCAAUUGUCAGAGGUGAAAUUCUUGGAUUUAUUGAAGACUAACUACUGCGAAAGCAUUUGCCAAGGAUGUUUUCAUUGAUCAAGAACGAAAGUUAGGGGAUCGAAGACGAUCAGAUACCGUCGUAGU